GCGGAAACGAGUUAUCUGAACCUUCGGGGAACGAUAACGGCGUCGAGCGGCGGACGGGUGAGUAAUGCCUAGGAAAUUGCCCUGAUGUGGGGGAUAACCAUUGGAAACGAUGGCUAAUACCGCAUAAUGCCUACGGGCCAAAGAGGGGGACCUUCGGGCCUCUCGCGUCAGGAUAUGCCUAGGUGGGAUUAGCUAGUUGGUGAGGUAAUGGCUCACCAAGGCGACGAUCCCUAGCUGGUCUGAGAGGAUGAUCAGCCACACUGGAACUGAGACACGGUCCAGACUCAUACGGGAGGCAGCAGUGGGGAAUAUUGCACAAUGGGCGCAAGCCUGAUGCAGCCAUGCCGCGUGUGUGAAGAAGGCCUUCGGGUUGUAAAGCACUUUCAGUCGUGAGGAAGGUAGUGUAGUUAAUAGCUGCA
RNAcentral lists this ribosomal RNA (419 nucleotides) under Vibrio sp. P12-16. RNAcentral describes it as "bacterial SSU rRNA". It matches the Rfam family "Bacterial small subunit ribosomal RNA", at positions 61 to 470 of the family's 1533-position model. The record is from RNAcentral. Lineage: Bacteria; Pseudomonadati; Pseudomonadota; Gammaproteobacteria; Vibrionales; Vibrionaceae.